This 174-nucleotide unclassified non-coding RNA is filed under the name uncultured Pseudeurotium. RNAcentral's name for it is "sequence contains ITS1". Lineage: Eukaryota; Fungi; Ascomycota; Leotiomycetes; Thelebolales; Pseudeurotiaceae. The record is from RNAcentral.
AAGAGUCAUACGUGCGGCCGAGUUUACUUGGUCGCCGUAACACUCCACCCUUUGUUUACAUAUCUUUGUUGCUUUGGCAGGCCCGCUCUCGGGCCACCGGCUUCGGCUGGUCAGCGCCUGCCAGAGGACCUAAACUCUGUUUGUCUAUAAUGUCUGAGUACUAUAUAAUAGUUA